This is a long non-coding RNA of Acanthochromis polyacanthus (spiny chromis), 1325 nucleotides long. RefSeq lists it as uncharacterized. NCBI's taxonomy places the organism in Eukaryota, Metazoa, Chordata, Actinopteri, Pomacentridae. The transcript has 4 exons. The record is from RefSeq and is a predicted model, not a curated record.
UCCCUCCCUACAGGAGAGACAGACAGAUGAGACAAACAGACAGAUGAGACACAGACAGACAGGUGAGACACAGACAGACAGGUGAAAUAUAGACAGACAGACGAGACACAGACAGACAGGUGAAACACAGACAGACAGGUAAGACACAGACAAACAGGUAAGACACAAACAGACAGGUGAGACACAGACAGACAGGUGAGACACAAACAGACAGGUGAGACACAGACAGUUGAGACACAGACAGGUGAGACACAGACAGUUGAGACACAGACAGGUGAAACACAGACAGACAGGUAAGACAUGGACAGACAGGUGAGACACAGACAGACAGGUAAGACACAGACAGGUAAGACACAGACAGACAGCUAAGACACAGACAGGUGAGACACAGACAGACAGGUGAGACACAGACAGGUGAGACACAGACAGGUGAGACACAGACAGAUGAGACACAGACAGACAGGUGAGACACAUACAGACAGGUGAGACACAGACAGACAGGUGAGACACAGACAGACAGGUGAAAUAUAGACAGACAGACGAGACACAGACAGACAGGUAAGACACAAACAGACAGGUGAGACACAGACAGGUGAGACACAGACAGGAGAGACACAGACAGGUGAAACACAGACAGACAGGUAAGACAUGGACAGACAGGUGAGACACAGACAGGUAAGACACAGACAGACAGGUAAGACACAGACAGGUGAAACACAGACAGACGAGACACAGACAGACAGGUAAGACACAGACAGGUGAGACACAGACAGGUGAGACACAGACAGGUGAAACACAGACAGAUGAGACACAGACAGACAGGUAAGACACAGACAGGUGAGACACAGACAGGUGAGACACAGACAGAUGAGACACAGACAGACAGGUAAGACACAGACAGACAGGUGAGACACAGACAGGUAAGACACAGACAGACAGGUAAGACACAGACAGGUGAAACACAGACAGACGAGACACAGACAGACAGGUAAGACACAGACAGGUGAGACACAGACAGGUGAGACACAGACAGGUGAAACACAGACAGAUGAGACACAGACAGACAGGUAAGACACAGACAGACAGGUGAGACACAGACAGAUGAGACACAGACAGACAGGUGAGACACAGACAGGUGAGACACAGACAGAUGAGACACAGACAGACAGGUGAGACACAGACAGACAGGUGAGACACAGACAGGUGAGUAGUAGAAAUACUUUAAUACCUCAGUACUGUAAUACUUUAGUCCUUUAAUACUUGUUCAACUCACACAGUUCCGCCAGCGGGCCUUCAGAGGUCUCCACCGUCCCAACUAGAGACAU